RNAcentral lists this ribosomal RNA (476 nucleotides) under uncultured bacterium. Its description in RNAcentral is "bacterial SSU rRNA". It matches the Rfam family "Bacterial small subunit ribosomal RNA", at positions 328 to 793 of the family's 1533-position model. The record is from RNAcentral.
CGCUAUCACUCCUACGGGGAGGCAGCAGUAGGGAAUACUUCCACAAUGGGCGCAAGCCUGAUGGAGCAACACCGCGUGAGUGAAGAAGGAUUUCGGCUCGUAAAGCUCUGUUGUUUAAAGAAGAACACGUAUGAGAGUAACUGUUCAUACGUUGACGGUAUUUAACCAGAAAGUCACGGCUAACUACGUGCCAGCAGCCGCGGUAAUACGUAGGUGGCAAGCGUUAUCCGGAUUUAUUGGGCGUAAAGAGAGUGCAGGCGGUUUUCUAAGUCUGAUGUGAAAGCCUUCGGCUUAACCGGAGAAGUGCAUCGGAAACUGGAUAACUUGAGUGCAGAAGAGGGUAGUGGAACUCCAUGUGUAGCGGUGGAAUGCGUAGAUAUAUGGAAGAACACCAGUGGCGAAGGCGGCUACCUGGUCUGCAACUGACGCUGAGACUCGAAAGCAUGGGUAGCGAACAGGAUUAGAUACCCUGGUAG